GUUACCCUAGCCCGCUCACUUCUCCCAACCGAAUUGAUCAUCAGCAUUUGCUCUGUACCGUCUCCCCUAAAUUGAUCGUCGCUAAAUCGAUCUCUCGUUUGCAACUCUGUUGGAAAUCAUCCUCUUCGCUCUUUAAUCAUCAUCGUAAGUACAGGUUGUCUUGACCUUGAAUCGUUAUAGCUGAGCGGAGUUUUACUUUUGGCUACUAAAACAAAUCCCAAUUGUUCCCGUGUUCCACCAAUUGUUUAGGCCUUUUGAAACUGCUCCAGCUAGCUCAAUAUCCAUGGAGGUAGCAUACGAAAAUGGGAACAUGUUGGAGCCUAGUGUGAGAGCCUAUGUGAAGUUGUGGAUGAGGCUCUAAUAUAAUUACAUUACACCAAACAACAUGUUUUAGAGAUUUUUAUUUGUUCUAUUGACUUGUUUUGUAUUCAUGUAUUGUAGCAUACUAUGUUUGGAUUUAUAUUUGUAUU
This 470-nucleotide long non-coding RNA is filed under the name Helianthus annuus (common sunflower). RNAcentral's name for it is "sRNA HanXRQr2_Chr03g0113931". Lineage: Eukaryota; Viridiplantae; Streptophyta; Magnoliopsida; Asterales; Asteraceae. The record is from RNAcentral.